UACGUAGGGACCAAGCGUUGUCCGGAAUCAUUGGGCGUAAAGAGCGUGUAGGCGGCUUGUUAAGUCUUGCGUGAAAUCUCGGGGCUCAACCCCGAGCGGUCGUGAGAAACUGGCAGGCUAGAGUGCGGGAGAGGAGAGUGGAAUUCCUGGUGUAGCGGUGAAAUGCGCAGAUAUCAGGAAGAACACCGGUGGCGAAGGCGGGUCUCUGGGCCGAUACUGACGCUGAGGAGCGAAAGCGUGGGGAGCAAACAGG
This 253-nucleotide ribosomal RNA is filed under the name uncultured bacterium. RNAcentral's name for it is "partial 16S ribosomal RNA". It matches the Rfam family "Bacterial small subunit ribosomal RNA", at positions 524 to 776 of the family's 1533-position model. The record is from RNAcentral.